UUCAACAUGCCCCUUUGAAGGAUUAGUCAUAUGCCGAUAAUGACAAAAUGUAUUGGCCCUUUGCUUCACGAACAAUGAGCUUUUGAUAGCCAGUGUCAUCUUUUUACAGCUGGCGUUUACACUGGACUUGUUCUAGCGUUGGACAUCGGUUUUGGAAGAUCCAAUUAUUACGUUCUCUGAAAGUGGUUUACCUGAAUCAGGUGCCAGUGUGGGGCCACAGUUGCUGUACAGAUGAGCGCUGUGAUAAAUAUGAGCCAGAGAGGGAGAAAUGAGAGUGCUUAAAGAGGAGGAUGCUAUUAAUGUGGUACAGCUUGAAGCAGGCAUCGGGUGCAGGUGGAGAUGGACCUGGCUCAAGCUGGAGGCCAAAAUAAAAAAGCAAAGAAAUUAGGCAAAUUUUAUUUGAAUCUUAAAUAUGUACAUCAACAUGUACUUGAGCGGUGUAAAUAAAUGUUUUUCUGCUUGAAGUCUUCCAGAUUGCUUAAUUUAUGUUAAAAUCCAAUACAUUCUCUGCGGGGGCCCGGGAUCCACCCCAAACACCCCGACAAUGUUUUUUUCUGUGACCUUUUUCAUGCCUUUGGUGUUUUCAUGUUUUCUGAAUUUAAAAGGCAACACCUGAGCAUCUAGAAACACCCAUCAGUCACAUCUUUUGCUCACUUGAAAAGUAAGUCGGUUCAAACAAAAGGUGCUCUGUCCAGACUUGUU
Molecule: long non-coding RNA, 702 nt
Organism: Phyllopteryx taeniolatus (common seadragon)
Lineage: Eukaryota; Metazoa; Chordata; Actinopteri; Syngnathiformes; Syngnathidae
Exons: 3
Source: RefSeq, a predicted model, not a curated record